GGACUCGUAGCUCAGUUGGCUAGAACGUUGGCUGUACUAAACCCUUCCCUUGCUGGCGUGGGUUCGAAUCCCACCGAGGCCG
This 82-nucleotide transfer RNA is filed under the name Schistocephalus solidus. It matches the Rfam family "tRNA". Rfam says of the family: Transfer RNA (tRNA) molecules are approximately 80 nucleotides in length. Their secondary structure includes four short double-helical elements and three loops (D, anti-codon, and T loops). Lineage: Eukaryota; Metazoa; Platyhelminthes; Cestoda; Diphyllobothriidea; Diphyllobothriidae. The record is from Rfam by way of RNAcentral.